Non-coding RNA from Pelobates cultripes (western spadefoot toad), 441 nucleotides. The record is from the annotation of a GenBank genome assembly. Lineage: Eukaryota; Metazoa; Chordata; Amphibia; Anura; Pelobatidae.
GCCAUGAGCCCCCCCGCAGCCGGAACACUCAUGUCGGAACCUGCAGGAAUUCCCCCACUUGCAGUGUCCCUCGUUGUACAUCCAGCAGAAGCCUUUCUUUUGCCCAGCCGACACGGCACCUCCUGCGGCUGUGCCGGUUGUCCCAAGAAAGGGCGCAGCCUUUUGCGCCAUCAUAAGGCGCAUCCAUAACGGCAGAUCCAUUUGGUCCCACCGCAUGCUCGUAUUCACCGCUAGCCGUUGGCGAAAUUGUUCAUCAUACCUCCACCACGCCAAUCCUCCGUAGGUUCGAUAUGCAUCACCUAUCCCAUCCAAGUAAUAAAAAAGUUCCGAACAACGACCCGGGUUCUUUUCCCCUAUAACGCUUGCCAAAAUACAGAAGGCCCGUAGCCAAUUCCCAAAAGUUUUCGGUAUCUUGCGAUACCUCCGCCUUUUUUCCUCCUC